RNAcentral lists this ribosomal RNA (239 nucleotides) under uncultured bacterium. RNAcentral's name for it is "partial small subunit ribosomal RNA". It matches the Rfam family "Bacterial small subunit ribosomal RNA", at positions 26 to 291 of the family's 1533-position model. The record is from RNAcentral.
AGAGCGAACGCUGGCGGCAGGCCUAACACAUGCAAGUCGAGCGGCCGUAGCAAUACGGCAGCGGCAGACGGGAUAGUAACACGUGGGAACGCGCCCUUCGGUUCGGAAUAACUCAGGGAAACUUGAGCUAAUACCGGAUACGCCCUUACGGGGAAAGAUUUAUUGCCGAAGGAACGGCCCGCGUCCGAUUAGCUAGUUGGUGAGGUAAUGGCUCACCAAGGCUCCGAUCGGUAGCUGGU